This 384-nucleotide ribosomal RNA is filed under the name uncultured bacterium. RNAcentral's name for it is "bacterial SSU rRNA". It matches the Rfam family "Bacterial small subunit ribosomal RNA", at positions 28 to 412 of the family's 1533-position model. The record is from RNAcentral.
GACGAACGCUGGCGGCGUGCUUAACACAUGCAAGUCGAGCGGUAAGGCCCUUUCGGGGGUACACGAGCGGCGAACGGGUGAGUAACACGUGGGUGACCUGCCCUCAGCUCUGGGAUAAGCCUGGGAAACCGGGUCUAAUACUGGAUAUGACUCCAUGACGCAUGUUGUGGGGUGGAAAGCCUUGUGCGGCUGAGGAUGGGCCCGCGGCCUAUCAGCUUGUUGGUGGGGUGANGGCCUACCAAGGCGACGACGGGUAGCCGGCCUGAGAGGGCGACCGGCCACACUGGGACUGAGACACGGCCCAGACUCCUACGGGAGGCAGCAGGUGGGGAAUCUUGCGCAAUGGGCGAAAGCCUGACGCAGCGACGCCGCGUGAGGGAUGAC